Molecule: long non-coding RNA, 1548 nt
Organism: Agrilus planipennis (emerald ash borer)
Lineage: Eukaryota; Metazoa; Arthropoda; Insecta; Coleoptera; Buprestidae
Exons: 2
Source: RefSeq, a predicted model, not a curated record
CUUAAUUUUAAUACGAGUGAUCGUCCACUCCUGGAAUGUUUCUAUUACCUUACUUGGGUACAUUGUACCUGUUUUAUUUCAUUGAAAACUUGAUGUGCUGUUGAACUGAUUUAACGCGACCUUGGGUUCUAUUGAACCCUAAUUUUACAACUAAGGUCAUCGACAGAAUACGUUAUAUACUAAAUAAAAAAAUAUAAAAUACGGUUAACUAAAACCAAUUUACGAUUUAUCAUUAGACCGUUUCUAAUUUUUUAUUUUACAUAUUUGAAGUGCAGGCAUUUAGUUAGCUAAAGGACCUUAAACAUAAUUAUACUUUGAAACCACACUCCCAAAUUUCUAAUUAAUGGUCAGGAAAUUUAAGAAAGGUCAUUGUCUCGCUUCAUUGUCUAGUAAUUCUUAUUUUUUGUUAGACGAUCGACAUUCCUUUGUCGUUCAAAAAUUCGUAAAAAGGUAUAGGUACCUAUUAAUACAGUGUGUCACAAAAAAGGCGCCCUCUCAAAAUCAUCUACCGUCAUAUUCAGAAUUAAAUUUAAGAAUAGCUUGUUUGAUAUUAAAUAAGAUUCCAAGAUCAUUAUAAUUAUAGUCAGAUUGGAAUUUUAUUUACUCGAUUGGACCAUUACUAUUCUAUUUUUAAAAUUGUUUCAACCUAAAGCCAAGUAAACAGCAAAGGAGUUAAUAAAGUAAUGCUGAGGUAUAUUGAAAACAAUUUGUAAAAAACAAUUUCUGAUCUUGCAUUUACAAUUUUAUCUACCAUAAAAUCAUCAUUCUAUGCAUCGGGCUGUAAAUGUACACAAUUAUGCAGUGCAGGCGCAACUAGUUUUCAAUAAAAUAAAAAUCAAACACGUUUUCAAGCUAGCCUAUGUAGUUCAAUAGUCCCAUUAGAAUGUCGACUACAUUUUUUUGCAGAAUAAACGAACCAAUAAAAUUCAUUCUGUAUUUAUUGUAUUUUUUACGAAGGUUAUCAUUUUAACUACCUAUAAUACAGCAGAUUAGAAAUUCAAAAACACUGAUAAAAUAUCAAUCCUGAUUGGUUUUUUUUCUUAUAUUUAUGUAGAGUUCAUAUUUCUGAUAAGUGCAGUAGUAAGUGUAGCACAACAAAAGAGUGCAUUUGUAUUUAUAGAUGCAGAGAACAAUCACUUUUUGUUUAUCUUCAUAUUAUAAGCGUAGAACAUGUCUAUUUAUACUACCAACACGUAUGUAAAUAUAUGUGUCUGUAUGCCUGCAAUAUAAUAUGGAAUCGAAUUACAGAAAGUAAAUGAUACAACGGUAAACGCGGAGGGAAUGUGACACCCUGUAUAUAACAUGUAUGUAUAAAUAUAUUACGUGAUCAAAAGUGGGGUUGCAAUGGCGCUAAGAUAAGGUCAUCAACCUCAAGCUUCACGUCUUUGACAUUGAAUCGAUAAUCUAACACUUAUGUAUAACACGUUAAUUAUUACUAUAAUUAAAUUAAACCAUUUCAAUAAUGACUGAUCCCGUAUAAUAAGGCUGUUUAUUAUAAAAAUAAUAUUGUAUAAGAAAACAAAACAUAAAAGGGCUCUGUUAGUUUUC